AGCACUCUGUGCAAAGAUGACCUGCUAUCUAUCACCCAUGACUGA
Sinocyclocheilus grahami is the source of this 45-nucleotide small nucleolar RNA. Its record names the gene SNORD83. It matches the Rfam family "Small nucleolar RNA SNORD83". Rfam says of the family: U83 (SNORD83) and U84 (SNORD84) are members of the C/D class of snoRNA which contain the C (UGAUGA) and D (CUGA) box motifs. They act as guanine methylation guides but lack complementarity to ribosomal RNA. The record is from Ensembl. NCBI's taxonomy places the organism in Eukaryota, Metazoa, Chordata, Actinopteri, Cypriniformes, Cyprinidae.